Molecule: long non-coding RNA, 303 nt
Organism: Lemur catta (Ring-tailed lemur)
Lineage: Eukaryota; Metazoa; Chordata; Mammalia; Primates; Lemuridae
Exons: 2
Source: RefSeq, a predicted model, not a curated record
CCUAGUGCCGGCCGCCGGGCUCCACGCCCACCCCGCGAGCUCUCGGCGUUGGGGUCCGGAUGCGGCCAGACGGUCCCGGGGCCGCGAAAGUGAUGCUGCUGUUCUUGAGUUCCCAUACCUCCGAAGCCUCGGCUGUAGCCCUGAUGCUGUCCAUCCUCUAGCAUGCUGGCGCUGUGCCAUCAUCUCUCCCCCAACUAGACUGAGUCCUCCAGGAGGACAGGCACCUACCCAUGUCAUCUCUAGUUUCAGUGCCCAGCCUGAUGCCUGACUCAGACAGGGCCUCAGUAAAUGUCGCUGGAUGAA